This 580-nucleotide ribosomal RNA is filed under the name uncultured bacterium. RNAcentral's name for it is "bacterial SSU rRNA". It matches the Rfam family "Bacterial small subunit ribosomal RNA", at positions 102 to 679 of the family's 1533-position model. The record is from RNAcentral.
ACGGGUGAGUAAUGUCUGGGGAUCUGCCCGAUAGAGGGGGAUAACCACUGGAAACGGUGGCUAAUACCGCAUAACGUCGCAAGACCAAAGAGGGGGACCUUCGGGCCUCUCACUAUCGGAUGAACCCAGAUGGGAUUAGCUAGUAGGCGGGGUAAUGGCCCACCUAGGCGACGAUCCCUAGCUGGUCUGAGAGGAUUACCAGCCACACUGGAACUGAGACACGGUCCAGACUCCUACGGGAGGCAGCAGUGGGGAAUAUUGCACAAUGGGCGCAAGCCUGAUGCAGCCAUGCCGCGUGUAUGAAGAAGGCCUUCGGGUUGUAAAGUACUUUCAGCGGGGAGGAAGGCGACGGGGUUAAUAACCCUGUCGAUUGACGUUACCCGCAGAAGAAGCACCGGCUAACUCCGUGCCAGCAGCCGCGGUAAUACGGAGGGUGCAAGCGUUAAUCGGAAUUACUGGGCGUAAGCGCACGCAGGCGGUCUGUUAAGUCAGAUGUGAAAUCCCCGGGCUUAACCUGGGAACUGCAUUUGAAACUGGCAGGCUUGAGUCUUGUAGAGGGGGGUAGAAUUCCAGGUGUAGC